RNAcentral lists this unclassified non-coding RNA (262 nucleotides) under Hevea brasiliensis (rubber tree). Lineage: Eukaryota; Viridiplantae; Streptophyta; Magnoliopsida; Malpighiales; Euphorbiaceae. The record is from RNAcentral.
GCAUGCCGUCAGUGACCGCCGGAGUGCCGCCAGCAGCAGCGCCAGCAGCGGGAGCUGGUCCUCCUCCCUCCUCUCCCUCUUCCCCCCUCGGCUGGCCGGGGAAGUCAAAAGAGUUGUUGUGGAGGCAUCCUCGGCGGAGCAGGGGAGAGGCGGGCUGGGGGAGUGGAGCACUGCUGUCAUGGUGGGGGAGAGGAGGGAGUUGCAGUGAAUGAAUCAGCAGUCGGAUUAAUAGAGCUACAGGGUUGAAGGAGAGGAGAGAGAA